RNAcentral lists this long non-coding RNA (1147 nucleotides) under Oryctolagus cuniculus (rabbit). Its description in RNAcentral is "lncRNA (ENSOCUG00000035882.1)". Lineage: Eukaryota; Metazoa; Chordata; Mammalia; Lagomorpha; Leporidae. The record is from RNAcentral.
UCUCUCUGUCUCUUACUCUCUUUGUAUUUAAAUCUAUCUCUCAAAUAAAUAAAUAAAUAAAAAUUUCAUGAGAAAAAUUUUUAUAUGUAAACCAAAUUCUGGUCUUGUCUAUGCAAUGUCCCCCAUCAAUGCCUUUUCAGUCUUCCUUUCUAGAUUCCCCCUAGGUAAACUUUGAAACGAUUUUUCCUAGUCUCAAUUAUUCCAAAUUUAUGCUAUCAUUAUUACAUCAUUAAAUAUAUAGUAGAGUAUUUUCAAGGAAGUGAAAUCCUGCCAACAGUGUCUAGUGAUGAUUCCAUUCUGCUUCACUGUGUCAAAGUCAAACUUUGGUUUUGUGUAUCCAAGUAUUAAAAUGUGAAGAAUAUAAGCAUUUGUAUUUUUCUUAUGAGUUUUCUCUUCCUAUUCACGGUCUUUUUGAUUUGUAUAAUUCCCCGGAGUUCAGUGGUAUUAAAAAAAAAGCUAACCCUAGUACAUCCUCCAACUCCAAUAUAACAAAUUAAAUUACUGAAUACUGUGCACUCACAAUUUUGACAUAUAUCUUUUAAAAUAGAGCCAAUUUUUACUCUAUUUCAUUUCUUUUUCCUCAUAUUAUUUUCCUGGCAUGUCUGAUUUCUAACAAAGAGUGAUGCUCAGCUCUUAUUUCAGAAUUAUUCAAAAUAUAUUAUAAAAAUAUCUUCUAAAGUAUUCUCUUGACACCUCUGGAAACAAUAUCCUUUGAUUAUCACAAACAAUUUUGAUCUGCUUCUUUCUCUCAUUGUUGGGAGAGUAUCAAUCGUAUUCCCUCUAAAUUUGCACUAACUUUACAUUUUCUCUUUCUUUUCAGAGUAUGGAUUUCACCAUUCGCCUUUUUAUUUGAGAUCACUUUACAAUGUCAAAACGAAGGUUUUGAACAGGGCACUGAGAAGGUCCUUAAAAUUUAAGGUUGCUGUACCUUCUCUGGGAAAUUUUGAUGCUGUGUCUGGUCUCUUGCUCAGCAGAUUGGACCACAAUGGUGGUAGGAAGGAGAAUCAGAAGGAUCAUCUUAAGGCUUCAGUUACAUAAUGUAGUGCUGCUGUAAAAAUAAUCCAGAUUUGUAGCUUGUAUUUGCAUUCAAUUUCCUGCUCUUACACUUUUUAAUAAAAUGUACAACUUUGUAUGUAGUUCUUUGAAU